AGCGAACGCUGGCGGCAGGCCUAACACAUGCAAGUCGAGCGCCCCGCAAGGGGGGCGGCAGGCGGGAGAGUAACACGUGGGAACGUACCCUUUGGUUCGGAACAACCCAGGGAAACUUGGGCUAAUACCGGAUAAGCCCUUACGGGGAAAGAUUCAUCGCCGAAGGAUCGGCCCGCGUCUGAUUAGCUAGUUGGUGGGGUAACGGCCCACCAAGGCGACGAUCAGUAGCUGGUCUGAGAGGAUGAUCAGCCUCACUGGGACUGAGACACGGCCCAGACUCCUACGGGAGGCAGCAGUGGGGAAUAUUGGACAAUGGGCGCAAGCCUGAUCCAGCCAUGCCGCGUAGGUGAUGAAGGCCCUAGGGUUGUAAAGCCCUUUCGGCGGAGAAGAUAAUGACGGUACCCGCAGAAGAAGCCCCGGCUAACUUCGUGCCAGCCGCCGCAGUAA
Molecule: ribosomal RNA, 447 nt
Filed under: uncultured bacterium
Lineage: Bacteria
Description: partial 16S ribosomal RNA
Rfam family: Bacterial small subunit ribosomal RNA
Source: RNAcentral